UGAUAAUUAGUUUAAACAAAACAAGUGAUUUCGACUCACUAGAUUAUGCCAAACUCCAUAAUUAUCAA
RNAcentral lists this transfer RNA (68 nucleotides) under Furipterus horrens. Its description in RNAcentral is "tRNA-Arg". The record is from RNAcentral. Lineage: Eukaryota; Metazoa; Chordata; Mammalia; Chiroptera; Furipteridae.